RNAcentral lists this ribosomal RNA (467 nucleotides) under uncultured bacterium. RNAcentral describes it as "partial 16S ribosomal RNA". It matches the Rfam family "Bacterial small subunit ribosomal RNA", at positions 28 to 507 of the family's 1533-position model. The record is from RNAcentral.
GAUGAACGCUGACAGAAUGCUUAACACAUGCAAGUCAACUUGAAUUUGGGUUUUUAACUUAGGUUUGGGUGGCGGACGGGUGAGUAACGCGUAAAGAACUUGCCUCACAGCUAGGGACAACAUUUGGAAACGAAUGCUAAUACCUAAUAUUAUGAUAAUAGGGCAUCCUAUAAUUAUGAAGGCUAUAAGCGCUGUGAGAGAGCUUUGCGUCCCAUUAGCUAGUUGGAGAGGUAACGGCUCACCAAGGCGAUGAUGGGUAGCCGGCCUGAGAGGGUGAUCGGCCACAAGGGGACUGAGACACGGCCCUUACUCCUACGGGAGGCAGCAGUGGGGAAUAUUGGACAAUGGACCAAGAGUCUGAUCCAGCAAUUCUGUGUGCACGAUGAAGUUUUUCGGAAUGUAAAGUGCUUUCAGUUGGGAAGAAAGAAAUGACGGUACCAACAGAAGAAGUGACGGCUAAAUACGUG